RNAcentral lists this ribosomal RNA (301 nucleotides) under uncultured bacterium. Its description in RNAcentral is "partial 16S ribosomal RNA". It matches the Rfam family "Bacterial small subunit ribosomal RNA", at positions 509 to 807 of the family's 1533-position model. The record is from RNAcentral.
CAGUCGCCACGGGAAUACGAAGGGGGCUAGCGUUGUUCGGAAUUACUGGGCGUAAAGCGCACGUAGGCGGAUAUUUAAGUCAGGGGUGAAAUCCCAGAGCUCAACUCUGGAACUGCCUUUGAUACUGGGUAUCUUGAGUAUGGAAGAGGUGAGUGGAAUUCCGAGUGUAGAGGUGAAAUUCGUAGAUAUUCGGAGGAACACCAGUGGCGAAGGCGGCUCACUGGUCCAUUACUGACGCUGAGGUGCGAAAGCGUGGGGAGCAAACAGGAUUAGAUACCCCUGUAGUCCCUGUCUCUUAUAC